UCAACAUACCAUUAGGAACCAAAAUAAACUAAAAUUACUAAAUUAAACAACUUGCUUACCUCAAAUCUACACUUUCUCUCACUAGAUCCUCUCUCUAACCCAAGCUGCUACAAGUGAAAUGGUCCAAAACAAGCUAUAGGCCCUUAUAAAGGGCUCUCCAUGCAACCAAAUAGGAGGUGGCAGGCCACAUGGCUGCCACCAACCCCAACUUCCCAAUUUUGCACUUUAGUCCUUCAAGUUAUCAAAAAUUAAAC
Molecule: long non-coding RNA, 254 nt
Filed under: Vitis vinifera (wine grape)
Lineage: Eukaryota; Viridiplantae; Streptophyta; Magnoliopsida; Vitales; Vitaceae
Description: long non-coding RNA (VVIN_LNC000470)
Source: RNAcentral